GAUUGAACGCUGGCGGCAUGCCUUACACAUGCAAGUCGAACGGUAGGGGGAGCAAUCCCCUGAGAGUGGCGAACGGGUGAGUAAUACAUCGGAACGUGCCCAGUCGUGGGGGAUAACGUAGCGAAAGCUACGCUAAUACCGCAUACGACCUGAGGGUGAAAGCGGGGGACCGAAAGGCCUCGCGCGAUUGGAGCGGCCGAUGGCAGAUUAGGUAGUUGGUGGGGUAAAGGCCCACCAAGCCUGCGAUCUGUAGCUGGUCUGAGAGGAUGAUCAGCCACACUGGAACUGAGACACGGUCCAGACUCCUACGGGAGGCAGCAGUGAGGAAUAUUGGUCAAUGGGCGGAAGCCUGAACCAGCCAUGCCGCGUGCAGGAAGACGGCCCUACGGGUUGUAAACUGCUUUUAUGUGAGGAUAAACCUAGAUUUGCGAAUCUAGCUGAAGGUAUCACAUGAAUAAGGAUCGGCUAACUCCGUG
RNAcentral lists this ribosomal RNA (476 nucleotides) under uncultured bacterium. RNAcentral's name for it is "bacterial SSU rRNA". It matches the Rfam family "Bacterial small subunit ribosomal RNA", at positions 27 to 507 of the family's 1533-position model. The record is from RNAcentral.